GACGAACGCUGGCGGCGUGCUUAACACAUGCAAGUCAAGGAGAACAUUUUCUUCGGAAAAUUAUUAAACUGGCGAACGGGUGAGUAACACGUAGGUAACCUGCCUUGAAGAUUGGGAUAACUCCGGGAAACCGGAGCUAAUACCGAAUAAUGCAGCGAAUCCAUAGGGAUAUGUUGUUAAAGCGGGCUUCGGCUCGCACUUCGAGAUGGGCCUGCGGCCGAUUAGCUUGUUGGUGAGGUAAUGGCUCACCAAGGCGAUGAUCGGUAGCUGGUCUGAGAGGAUGAUCAGCCACACUGGGAUUGAGAUACGGCCCAGACUCCUACGGGAGGCAGCAGUGGGGAAUUUUGCGCAAUGGACGAAAGUCUGACGCAGCAACGCCGCGUGAUUGAUGAAGCUUUUAGGAGUGUAAAGAUCUGUCGUGAGGGAAGAAAAACCUGGAUGUAAAUAAUGUUCAGGCGUGACGGUACCUCACAAGAAAGCACCGGCUAACUUCGUGCCAGCAGCCGCGGUAAUACGAGGGGUGCUAGCGUUGUCCGGAAUUACUGGGCGUAAAGGGUCCGUAGGCGUCUUGACAAGUUGAUCGUUAAAUCCACCGGCUCAACCGGUGAUCUGCGGUCAAAACUUGCAGGAUAGAAUAUGUGAGAGGAAAGUAGAAUUCCUGGUGUAGCGGUGACAUGCGUAGAUAUCAGGAGGAACACCAAUGGCGAAGGCAGCUUUCUGGCACAAUAUUGACGCUGAGGGACGAAAGCGUGGGGAGCGAACAGGAUUAGAUACCCUGGUAGUCCACGCCGUAAACGAUGAGUACUUGGUGGUGGGAGAUUCGACCCUCUCACUAUCGGAGCUAACGCGUUAAGUACUCCGCCUGGGGACUACGGCCGCAAGGCUGAAACU
This 891-nucleotide ribosomal RNA is filed under the name uncultured Fidelibacterota bacterium. Its description in RNAcentral is "SSU rRNA". It matches the Rfam family "Bacterial small subunit ribosomal RNA", at positions 28 to 901 of the family's 1533-position model. Lineage: Bacteria; Pseudomonadati; Fidelibacterota. The record is from RNAcentral.